Molecule: ribosomal RNA, 246 nt
Filed under: uncultured bacterium
Lineage: Bacteria
Description: partial small subunit ribosomal RNA
Rfam family: Bacterial small subunit ribosomal RNA
Source: RNAcentral
AGAAUCAACGCUGGCGGCGUGCCUAACACAUGCAAGUCGAACGAGAAAGUGGUAGCAAUACCAUGAGUAAAGUGGCGCACGGGUGAGUAACACGUGACUAACCUACCCUUGAGUGGGGGAUAACUGAGGGAAACCUUAGCUAAUACCGCAUAAUACCCACGGAUCAAAGGAGCAAUUCGCUUUCGGAGGGGUCGCGGCUGAUUAGCUAGUUGGCGGGGUAACGGCCCACCAAGGCUUUGAUCGGUA